This 195-nucleotide ribosomal RNA is filed under the name Triticum aestivum (bread wheat). RNAcentral's name for it is "partial small subunit ribosomal RNA". The record is from RNAcentral. Lineage: Eukaryota; Viridiplantae; Streptophyta; Magnoliopsida; Poales; Poaceae.
AUGCAUACUGUUGUGAUCCGUAGCUUACGCCUUGCCUGCAGGUGUCGUGCUGGCGACCGGGUUCGGAGCGCUCAUAUCGAAGGUGGCCGAGCACUGGUACGAGCUCUACAAGAUGGACAAGCAGGGGGCCAACCUCUGGUUCAUCUACUGGUGGGAGGACAAGGUCUCAGGUGUGUUGCUUUCUUCUGGCUCUGA